UACGGAGGGCGCAAGCGUUGUUCGGAAUCAUUGGGCGUAAAGCGCGUGUAGGCGGUUUGGUAAGUCGGGUGUGAAAUCCCGGGGCUCAACCCCGGAACUGCAUUCGAAACUGCCUGGCUAGAGUCCCGGAGGGGAGGGCGGAAUUCCCGGUGUAGAGGUGAAAUUCGUAGAGAUCGGGAGGAACACCAGCGGCGAAGGCGGCCCUCUGGACGGUGACUGACGAUGAGACGCGAAAGAGUGGGGAGCAAACAGG
Molecule: ribosomal RNA, 253 nt
Filed under: uncultured bacterium
Lineage: Bacteria
Description: partial 16S ribosomal RNA
Rfam family: Bacterial small subunit ribosomal RNA
Source: RNAcentral